GACGCCAUAGUGGCCUAGGACACCGCCCUUUCACGGCGGUAACAGGGGUUCGAGUCCCCUAGGGGACGCCA
Molecule: transfer RNA, 71 nt
Filed under: Pseudomonas savastanoi
Lineage: Bacteria; Pseudomonadati; Pseudomonadota; Gammaproteobacteria; Pseudomonadales; Pseudomonadaceae
Description: tRNA-Glu
Rfam family: tRNA (bases 10-68)
About the family: Transfer RNA (tRNA) molecules are approximately 80 nucleotides in length.
Source: RNAcentral